RNAcentral lists this ribosomal RNA (701 nucleotides) under uncultured fungus. RNAcentral describes it as "eukaryotic LSU rRNA". The stretch from base 206 to 359 matches the Rfam family "5.8S ribosomal RNA". Lineage: Eukaryota; Fungi. The record is from RNAcentral.
GCUGCGGGGAAGCCCUGCGCGCCGCCCCUCGGGGCAGCUUGCGGGUGGAACCGNUGUCCCCGUUCCACAAACCCACCCCUGUGCACUUUUUUGUUUUGGGACUCACGGACCGGUCGGCUUGCGCAAGCGUGCCGGCAGGGCCGCCCAACUCCACAUUUACACAAACUCUUAGAAUGGCUUUGGCUUUUUGAAGCAACUUUGUAACAACUUUCAACAACGGAUCUCUUGGCUCUCGCAUCGAUGAAGAACGCAGCGAAAUGCGAUAAGUAAUGUGAAUUGCAGAAUUCAGUGAAUCAUCGAAUCUUUGAACGCACCUUGCGCCCCUUGGUAUUCCGAGGGGCAUGCCUGUUUGAGUGUCUUGAAACCAUCGUCCCGUGCGGUCGCUGCAAAGCGACCGUUCCUCGGGUCGGACUUUGGGGGUUCUCUGCUGCCGCAAGGCGGCUCCCCUUGAAUGCGUCGGCUUCUGUUGGCCCUCUUCUGUGGUCUGUGCUGCCUGGGCGUUGUAUCUUCCUCGCUCUGCUGUGUGGCACAUGUCCCGGAGGUUGGACCUAGCCUCGGCCUUGCCUUUGGAGUGGCGGCCACUACGCUUUGUUGCGAAUCUGACCUCAAAUCAGGUAGGACUACCCGCUGAACUUAAGCAUAUCAAUAAGCGGAGGAAAAGAAACUAACAAGGAUUCCCCUAGUAACUGCGAGUGAAGCGG